GGGGCUGUGGCGCCGUUGGCAGCGCGCUUCCAUGGCAGGGAAGAGGUCUGGGGGUUCGGAUUCCCGUAGCUCCA
This 74-nucleotide transfer RNA is filed under the name Thermobifida halotolerans. RNAcentral's name for it is "tRNA-Ala". The record is from RNAcentral. Lineage: Bacteria; Bacillati; Actinomycetota; Actinomycetes; Streptosporangiales; Nocardiopsidaceae.